GACGAACGCUGGCGGCGUGCUUAACACAUGCAAGUCGAACGGAAAUGUCCGGCUUUGGUGGGGUGCGCGAGUGGCGAACGGGUGAGGAACACGUGAGUAACCUGCCCUUGACGUUGGGAUAACUUCAGGAAACUGGGGCUAAUACCGGGUAGGAGCACCUGCUGUUUGGUGGGGGUGGGAAAGUUUCGGCGGUUGGGUAUGGACACGCGGCUUAUCAGCUUGUUGGGGUGGGUGUGGCUUACCAAGGCUUUGACGGGUAGCCGGCCUGAUAGGGUAACCUGCCACAUUGGGACUGAGAUACGGCACAGACUCCUCUGGGACGCAGCAGUGGGGAAUAUUGCCCAAUGGGAGGAAGCCAAAUGCAGCACCGCCGCGUGCCGUAUAACAGGCUUGGCGUUGUAAACCGCUUUCCCCUGUGCCGAAGCGUGAGUGACGGUAAUGGGUAAAGAAGCCCCGGCUAACUACGUG
Molecule: ribosomal RNA, 468 nt
Filed under: uncultured bacterium
Lineage: Bacteria
Description: partial 16S ribosomal RNA
Rfam family: Bacterial small subunit ribosomal RNA
Source: RNAcentral